Small nuclear RNA from Salvia miltiorrhiza (redroot sage), 160 nucleotides. RefSeq annotates it as U1 spliceosomal RNA. The transcript has a single exon. Lineage: Eukaryota; Viridiplantae; Streptophyta; Magnoliopsida; Lamiales; Lamiaceae. The record is from RefSeq and is a predicted model, not a curated record.
AUACUUACCUGGGCGGGGUUUAUGGGUGAUCUAGAAGGCCCAUGGCCUAGGUUGGUGACUUCCAUUGCACAUUGGAUGGAUGCCACCUAAGGUCGGCCCAAGUGGUCGAGCCUACGUCAUAAUUUGUGAUAGUGGGAGCCUGCGUUCGCGCGGCCCCUAU